CAAGAAGUUACGAAAGGCUCCACCCUGUAAAACCAUACGCGAACUUAUCAAGUUGCCUCGGCGGAUCAGCCCGGCUCCCCGGUAAACGGGGACCGGCCCCCGCCUCAGGAGGUAAGGGCAGCCGCCGGGUAGAAACUCUGUAUUCUAUAGUGGUAAUCUUCUGAGUAUAAACCAUAAAUAAAGUCUA
This 187-nucleotide unclassified non-coding RNA is filed under the name soil metagenome. Its description in RNAcentral is "partial internal transcribed spacer 1". The record is from RNAcentral.